RNAcentral lists this ribosomal RNA (254 nucleotides) under uncultured bacterium. RNAcentral's name for it is "partial 16S ribosomal RNA". It matches the Rfam family "Bacterial small subunit ribosomal RNA", at positions 524 to 776 of the family's 1533-position model. The record is from RNAcentral.
UACGGGGGGGGCAAGCGUUGUUCGGAAUUACUGGGCGUAAAGGGCUCGUAGGCGGCCAACUAAGUCGGAUGUGAAAUCCCCAGGCUCAACCUGGGAACUGCAUCCGAUACUGCGGUGACUGGAGUCUGGUAGGGGAACACGGAAUUCCUGGUGUAGCGGUGAAAUGCGCAGAUAUCAGGAGGAACACCCGUAGCGAAGGCGGCUCACUGGUCCGGUACUGACGCUGAGGUGCGAAAGCGUGGGGAGCAAACAGG